This 240-nucleotide ribosomal RNA is filed under the name uncultured bacterium. RNAcentral describes it as "partial 16S ribosomal RNA". It matches the Rfam family "Bacterial small subunit ribosomal RNA", at positions 15 to 244 of the family's 1533-position model. The record is from RNAcentral.
GAUCCUGGCUCAGGAUGAACGCUAGCUACAGGCUUAACACAUGCAAGUCGAGGGGAAACGACAUCGAAAGCUUGCUUCCGAUGGGCGUCGACCGGCGCACGGGUGAGUAACGCGUAUCCAACCUGCCCACCACUUGGGGAUAACCUUGCGAAAGUAAGACUAAUACCCAAUGAUAUCUCUAGAAGACACCUGAAAGAGAUUAAAGAUUUAUCGGUGAUGGAUGGGGAUGCGUCUGAUUAG